Long non-coding RNA from Haliotis rufescens (red abalone), 278 nucleotides. RefSeq lists it as uncharacterized. The transcript has 4 exons. The record is from RefSeq and is a predicted model, not a curated record. Lineage: Eukaryota; Metazoa; Mollusca; Gastropoda; Lepetellida; Haliotidae.
CAUAUGUUACAUGUAACACCACUUGACAAGAUCACCAUGUUCCGACAACUGUUGUUGAUGCUUUUCCUUCUGGGCGUUGAACAUGCUGAGGGAAAGCCUUGUAAAACCAAAUGUCCCACGGGCAGCACGUGUCUCGAUCUGGGGUUUAUCGAAGUAUGCGCGGCCAGUCUGUCCGGAAAUGAAGGGGGUCCCCCACCUCCACGAACCACCCCACAACCGGAAUGACCCCUGCGUUGUCUGGUGGGCUGAAAUAAAUCUUCAAUAAACGAAGAUAACGC